Molecule: ribosomal RNA, 444 nt
Filed under: uncultured bacterium
Lineage: Bacteria
Description: partial 16S ribosomal RNA
Rfam family: Bacterial small subunit ribosomal RNA
Source: RNAcentral
CUACGGGAGGCACCAGUGGGGAAUAUUGCACAAUGGGCGCAAGCCUGAUGCAGCAACGCCGCGUGAGGGAUGAAGGCCUUCGGGUUGUAAACCUCUUUUAGCAGGGAAGAAGCGAAAGUGACGGUACCUGCAGAAAAAGCACCGGCUAACUACGUGCCAGCAGCCGCGGUAAUACGUAGGGUGCAAGCGUUGUCCGGAAUUAUUGGGCGUAAAGAGCUCGUAGGCGGUUUGUCACGUCUGCUGUGAAAAUCCAAGGCUCAACCUUGGACUUGCAGUGGGUACGGGCAGGCUAGAGUGCGGUAGGGGAGAUGGGAAUUCCUGGUGUAGCGGUGGAAUGCGCAGAUAUCAGGAGGAACACCAAUGGCGAAGGCACAUCUCUGGGCCGUAACUGACGCUGAGGAGCGAAAGCGUGGGGAGCGAACAGGAUUAGAUACCCCUGUAGUC